GUGGGGAAUCUUGCGCAAUGGGCGAAAGCCUGACGCAGCCAUGCCGCGUGAAUGAUGAAGGUCUUAGGAUUGUAAAAUUCUUUCACCGGGGACGAUAAUGACGGUACCCGGAGAAGAAGCCCCGGCUAACUUCGUGCCAGCAGCCGCGGUAAUACGAAGGGGGCUAGCGUUGCUCGGAAUUACUGGGCGUAAAGGGCGCGUAGGCGGACAGUUUAGGCAGAGGUGAAAGCCCAGGGCUCAACCUUGGAAUUGCCUUUGAUACUGGCUGUCUGGAGUACGGGAGAGGUGAGUGGAACUCCGAGUGUAGAGGUGAAAUUCGUAGAUAUUCGGAAGAACACCAGUGGCGAAGGCGACUCACUGGCCCGUUACUGACGCUGAGGCGCGAAAGCGUGGGGAGCAAACAGGAUUAGAAACCCCGGUAGUCC
This 425-nucleotide ribosomal RNA is filed under the name uncultured bacterium. Its description in RNAcentral is "partial 16S ribosomal RNA". It matches the Rfam family "Bacterial small subunit ribosomal RNA", at positions 354 to 796 of the family's 1533-position model. The record is from RNAcentral.